CCGAGUUUACAACUCCCCAAACCCAACGUGAACCAUACCAAACUGUUGCCUCGGCGGGGUCACGCCCCGCGGUGCGUCGCAGCCCCGGAACCAGGCGCCCGCCGGAGGGACCAACCAAACUCUUUCUGUAGUCCCCUCGCGGACGUUAUUUCUUACAGCUCUGAGCAAAAAUUCAAAAUGAGUC
Molecule: unclassified non-coding RNA, 184 nt
Filed under: soil metagenome
Description: partial internal transcribed spacer 1
Source: RNAcentral